GACGAACGCUGGCGGCGUGCCUAAUACAUGCAAGUAGAACGCUGAAGGAGGAGCUUGCUUCUCUGGAUGAGUUGCGAACGGGUGAGUAACGCGUAGGUAACCUGCCUGGUAGCGGGGGAUAACUAUUGGAAACGAUAGCUAAUACCGCAUAAUAGUAGAUGUUGCAUGACAUUUGCUUAAAAGGUGCAAUUGCAUCACUACCAGAUGGACCUGCGUUGUAUUAGCUAGUUGGUGGGGUAACGGCUCACCAAGGCGACGAUACAUAGCCGACCUGAGAGGGUGAUCGGCCACACUGGGACUGAGACACGGCCCAGACUUCUACGGGAAGCAGCAGUAGGGAAUCUUCGGCAAUGGGCGGAAGGCUGACCGAGCAACGCCGCGUGAGGGAAGAAGGUUUUCGGAUCGUAAAGAUCCGUUGUAAGAGAAGAAAGAGUGUGAGAGUGGAAAGUUCACACUGUGACGGUAUCUAACCAGAAAGGGACGGCUAACUACGUG
This 495-nucleotide ribosomal RNA is filed under the name uncultured bacterium. Its description in RNAcentral is "partial 16S ribosomal RNA". It matches the Rfam family "Bacterial small subunit ribosomal RNA", at positions 28 to 507 of the family's 1533-position model. The record is from RNAcentral.